GAUUAAAUGGCUGAUAAAAGUGAUAGAUUGUAAAUCUAUAUAUAAGAAUAAAUUUCUUUUUAAUCA
RNAcentral lists this transfer RNA (66 nucleotides) under Stictochironomus juncaii. Its description in RNAcentral is "tRNA-Tyr". It matches the Rfam family "tRNA". From Rfam's summary of the family: Transfer RNA (tRNA) molecules are approximately 80 nucleotides in length. Their secondary structure includes four short double-helical elements and three loops (D, anti-codon, and T loops). Further hydrogen bonds mediate the characteristic L-shaped molecular structure. tRNAs have two regions of fundamental functional importance: the anti-codon, which is responsible for specific mRNA codon recognition, and the 3' end, to which the tRNAs corresponding amino acid is attached (by aminoacyl-tRNA synthetases). tRNAs cope with the degeneracy of the genetic code in two manners: having more than one tRNA (with a specific anti-codon) for a particular amino acid; and 'wobble' base-pairing, i.e. permitting non-standard base-pairing at the 3rd anti-codon position. Lineage: Eukaryota; Metazoa; Arthropoda; Insecta; Diptera; Chironomidae. The record is from RNAcentral.